This 544-nucleotide ribosomal RNA is filed under the name uncultured bacterium. RNAcentral's name for it is "bacterial SSU rRNA". It matches the Rfam family "Bacterial small subunit ribosomal RNA", at positions 41 to 577 of the family's 1533-position model. The record is from RNAcentral.
GGCAGGCUUAAUAAUGCAAGUCGAGGGGCAGCAGGGGUGUAGCAAUACACUCGCUGGCGACCGGCAAACGGGUGCGGAACACGUACGCAACCUACCCAUAACUGGUGAAUAGCCCGGGGAAACCCGGAUUAAUACAUCGUAACAUAAUGAAACGGCAUCGUUUUAUUAUUAUAGCUCCGGCGGUUAUGGAUGGGCGUGCGCCUGAUUAGGUAGUUGGCGGAGUAAUAGCCCACCAAGCCUACGAUCAGUAACUGGUGUGAGAGCACGACCAGUCACACGGGCACUGAGACACGGGCCCGACUCCUACGGGAGGCAGCAGUAAGGAAUAUUGGUCAAUGGACGCAAGUCUGAACCAGCCAUGCCGCGUGAAGGAUGAAGGUCCUCUGGAUUGUAAACUUCUUUUAUAUGGGACGAAACCCUCGAUUUCCAUCGGGAUUGACGGUACCAUAGGAAUAAGCACCGGCUAACUCCGUGCCAGCAGCCGCGGUAAUACGGAGGGUGCAAGCGUUAUCCGGAUUCACUGGGUUUAAAGGGUGCGUANGAG